GAUGAACGCUGGCGGCGUGCCUAAUACAUGCAAGUCGAGCGAACGGACGAGAAGCUUGCUUCUCUGAUGUUAGCGGCGGACGGGUGGGUAACACGUGGAUAACCUACCUAUAAGACUGGGAUAACUUCGGGAAACCGGAGCUAAUACCGGAUAAUAUUUUGAACCGCAUGGUUCAAAAGUGAAAGACGGUCUUGCUGUCACUUAUAGAUGGAUCCGCGCUGCAUUAGCUAGUUGGUAAGGUAACGGCUUACCAAGGCAACGAUGCAUAGCCGACCUGGGAGGGUGAUCGGCCACACUGGAACUGAGACACGGUCCAGACUCCUACGGGAGGCAGCAGUAGGGAAUCUUCCGCAAUGGGCGAAAGCCUGACGGAGCAACGCCGCGUGAGUGAUGAAGGUCUUCGGAUCGUAAAACUCUGUUAUUAGGGAAGAACAUAUGUGUAAGUAACUGUGCACAUCUUGACGGUACCUAAUCAGAAAGCCACGGCUAACUACGUG
Molecule: ribosomal RNA, 497 nt
Filed under: uncultured bacterium
Lineage: Bacteria
Description: partial 16S ribosomal RNA
Rfam family: Bacterial small subunit ribosomal RNA
Source: RNAcentral